AACGAACGCUGGCGGCAUGCCUAACACAUGCAAGUCGAACGAGACCUUCGGGUCUAGUGGCGCACGGGUGCGUAACGCGUGGGAACCUGCCCUUAGGUUCGGAAUAACUCCCCGAAAGGGGUGCUAAUACCGGAUAAUGUCUUCGGACCAAAGAUUUAUCGCCUUUGGAUGGGCCCGCGUUCGAUUAGCUAGUUGGUAGGGUAAAAGCCUACCAAGGCGACGAUCCAUAGCUGGUCUGAGAGGAUGAUCAGCCACACUGGGACUGAGACACGGCCCAGACUCCUACGGGAGGCAGCAGUGGGGAAUAUUGGACAAUGGGCGAAAGCCUGAUCCAGCAAUGCCGCGUGAGUGAUGAAGGCCUUAGGGUUGUAAAGCUCUUUUACCCGGGAUGAAAAUGACAGUACCGGGAGAAUAAGCUCCGGCUAACUCCGUG
RNAcentral lists this ribosomal RNA (433 nucleotides) under uncultured bacterium. RNAcentral's name for it is "partial 16S ribosomal RNA". It matches the Rfam family "Bacterial small subunit ribosomal RNA", at positions 29 to 507 of the family's 1533-position model. The record is from RNAcentral.